Molecule: ribosomal RNA, 450 nt
Filed under: uncultured Glomeromycotina
Lineage: Eukaryota; Fungi; Glomeromycota
Description: SSU rRNA
Rfam family: Eukaryotic small subunit ribosomal RNA
Source: RNAcentral
CGCAGCCGCGGUAAUUCCAGCUCCAAUAGCGUAUAUUAAAGUUGUUGCAGUUAAAAAGACUCGUAGUUGAAUUUCGGGGUCAGUAGGUUGGUCAUGCCUCCGGUAUGUACUGGUCUCACUGAUUCCUCCUUCCUGAUGAACCGUAAUGCCAUUAAUUUGGUGUUGCGGGGAGACUGGACUGUUACUUUGAAAAAAUUAGAGUGUUUAAAGCAGGCUAACGCUUGAAUACAUUAGCAUGGAAUAAUGAAAUAGGACGUUCGAUCCUAUUUUGUUGGUUUCUUAGGAUUUGACGUAAUGAUUAAUAGGGAUAGUUGGGGGCAUUAGUAUUCAAUUGUCAGAGGUGAAAUUCUUGGAUUUUAUUGAAGACUAACUACUGCGAAAAGCAUUUGCCAAGGAUGUUUUCAUUAAUCAAGAACGAAAGUUGGGGGAUCGAAGACGAUCAGAUACCGU